This 227-nucleotide long non-coding RNA is filed under the name Mytilus galloprovincialis (Mediterranean mussel). Lineage: Eukaryota; Metazoa; Mollusca; Bivalvia; Mytilida; Mytilidae. The record is from RNAcentral.
CUUUUUUACAACCAUUUACGAAUUGACAUACGCGAUUCUGAAGUACAGUGCACGGUAUAACAUUCAUAUGUUUCGUUAUUAUAAACUAACUGAUUCCUUGAAGGCAACUCUUACAACUUUAACUAGCACAAAUAUGUUUAUUCUUCUAUAGACAGUAUUAUAAGUUUGAUUUAAAUCAAAAUAUCAUUUCUAAUUUUAGAUAUAAAAAGACUAAAUAUUUCCCAAAC